GUACUGUGCGAACGUUAUUCGGGAAUCACUGGGGCUUAAAGGGGUGCGUAGGCGGUUUAUCAAGUCAGAUGUGAAAUGCCUGAGCUCAACUGAGGCACUGCGUUUGAAACUGAUAGACUUGAGUAUUCCAGGGGUAUGCGGAACUGCCAGUGGAGCGGUGAAAUGCGUUGAUAUUGGCAGGAACACCAGUGGCGAAGGCGGCAUACUGGGGGAGUUACUGACGCUGAGGCACGAAAGCCAGGGUAGCGAACGGGAUUAGAUACCCCGGUAGUCCUGGCUGUAAACGAUGAGCACUGGGCGGGAGGGAAGUUCGCUUUUUCCUGCCGUAGCGAAAGCAUUAAGUGCUCCGCCUGGGGAGUAUGGUCGCAAAGGCUG
RNAcentral lists this ribosomal RNA (375 nucleotides) under uncultured organism. RNAcentral's name for it is "partial 16S ribosomal RNA". It matches the Rfam family "Bacterial small subunit ribosomal RNA", at positions 527 to 896 of the family's 1533-position model. The record is from RNAcentral.